AAUUUGAUAGCAUUAUAAAUAUGCACCUUUGGACUAUAAUGGUUAAGUUUAUUUUUCCUUGAGAUUAACCAGUUUAACUGAAACGCACAACUAACAUUUUUGUAGUUAGAUAUUUAACAUCAAAAGUAUACUUCCUUAUCUUUAUCGCUUAAAAAUAAUAAGUGCCGCAACCUUUGACAUAAACAGAUUUACGUAGAGCAUACCAUUUUAUUCAGUGAAAUGAAGACUUGGUUAUAACAUUGAAAUAUUUUAACGUAGAAAAAAUUAAAAUAAGAGGAUUGAAUAUCAAUUAAAUAUAUCAACAAUAUAUUAAUAAAGAUGCAAGAAUAAUACAGAAUCCUAGUUUAGAGAAGAAAGUGAUGGAAUAAAAUUUCAUUGUUAAGAAAAAUAAAUCCAUUAGAUAUACAGACUGCCUUUUCACAGUCAUGGAAUUAAACAAAGAAAUAGAAAAAAUUAUAAACGGAACUGACGAAAGAAACACAUCACUUUGGCCACUGAACAUAACAGAAACAUUAACGUUAUUGUUAGCUGUUGUUUCAAUUUUAAUAAACAUUGUUUUUAUUUACCUUCUUAAAUUUAGUCAAAAUAACGAAAAAGAUGAAAAGAAAAGAAGUGCUUAUCACGUAAUAAGCCAUGUAGGUUAUUUUUUAAUUUGUUUAUUAACCACAAAUAUUGGAUUUAUUAUUAUUACACAUUUAAACAUGAAAAUCGUUUUUCUCGUCCUAUACGAUACGCAUAAUCACUUUUUAUUAGCUCUCUAUUCUUUAAUGAUAAUGUUUAAUGUUAAUUAUACUUUGGAAAACGAAAGUAUGACCAAACACUUCAGUAAAAUUUUAUGGAUUAUAACAAUUACGAUGAUUUUAUAUUCAAUAUCAUUAAUUAUAGUUGAUGAUACUUUAAUCUAUUCAUUUAUAGUUUUACGUGUAAUAGGAUUUUUCCUCAUUAUAACCAUGUUAAUGAUUAGAGUUACAAUUUAUUUGCAAAAAAGUUGUAUUCGGGUUGAAACCGACAUCUUACAAUCCGUUCUUGUGCUAAGCUUUCUAUGUUGCUGGUGUCCAGAUCUUCUUUUUAACGUUUCUCACGUUAAUAUUUUUGAUACGUCGAUGAUAUAUUGUAUUGGAGUGGUUGCGUGUACCAGUAACGUUAUAUUUAAUAUAAUUUUAAUGUUAAUUGUCGAUAGUAAUUUUAAAAUGAGUUUUAGACGUGUUUUUAAUAUUAAUUUUGUAGAGGUUAAUACUAAAAGCAUAUUUGUGUGUGCAUAAUUUAUUUUAGUAUGUAAAUGUUAAUAAAAUAUGCAUUUUGUUAAUAUAUUAAUAGUGUCGUUUAAAGUUGGUAAAAACAUUAUGUUGAAUUUAUUUCAUUUAUUUAAAUAAAAUAUGUUAAUGAAUAAUUAUUUAUCGAAAUACUUAAUCGUUUAGUUGGUUGUAUACAUUUCAAGUAAAUGAAAACAUCUUACUCAGAUUGAUUUUAAUUACCACAGUCAACACUUAUACUUACUAUACACGUCAUUAAUAUAUAGUGCGUACUUUUCUGUACACGCUAUUUAAUUCUACUCAAUUGGCUAUUUGUCUAUAAUGUUGUAAAAUAUUGUGUUUCCUCUUGCUCAAAAUUUCAUUUAGCAAAUUUUUUAAUAUAUUCGCUGACAACUUUUAGUUUAUGUUUGUUUUGAGUGAUAGUAAUCCAACGCAUUUUAACGGUUUGUACCCAAUUCAACCCGCCUUAAAUAAAUUUGUUGCGUUACCAACACAAUGUUUUUUUUUCAUUUAAAUUAGUCUUGUUUGUUUCAGUAUCUUAGAUUACCAAUACUUAUAAUAUCAACUAUUGGAUUGAAUACUAUGCAUACAAGAAUAAAUAAAACAAUCACCACAAAGGAAUCCUUAUGGCAGCUUAAUAUAACAGAGAUAUCUACGUUAAUAAUAGCUUUAAUUUCGAUUUUAGUAAACGUUUUUGUCAUUUAUUUAAUUAAAUAUGGUGAUUACACCGAAACUAAUGAAAAGAAAAGAAGAGGUUAUCACGUAAUAAGCCACGUUAGUUACUAUUUAAUUUUUCUGUUUAUAACAAAAAUUGGAUUUAUUACUAUUUCUUAUUUAAAUUCGACAAUUUUGUUCUUUGUUUUAUACGAUGUUCAUAAUCAUCUUUUAUUGGCUCUUUACUCUUUAAUGAUAAUGUUAAACAUAGAUAAUAUUCUCGCAUUCGAAUCGCUGUGUAAACAUUGUAUUAACAUUUUAUGGAUUGUAACCACAAUAACAAUGAUUUUAUACUCAAUACCACUUAUAAGGGAAGAUAAUUUAAUUUAUUUAUAUGUAAUAUCGCGAGUUAUCGCAUUUUUGAUUAUGAUAGUGAUGUUAACGAUGAAAACUCUCUCUUUUAUACAUAAAUCUAAUGUUCGGAUAGGAAACGAAGUAUUAUUAUGGAUUCUUGUGUCGUGUUUUUUAUGUUGUUGGUGUCCUGAUUAUUAUUUUAAUAUUUUUGUCGUGAAUGCCUUCAAUAUUUCAGUGGUAAAUUGUGUAGGAGCAAUUGUUAGUACUAGUAACGUGAUAUUUAAUAUAACAUUAAUGUUAAUUGAAGACGAAAAUUAUAAAAUGUGUUUUAUAAAUGCGCUAAAAAUUAACAUGGAUAAGGGUUAUACUAAAAAUUCGCCUGUGUAUGUAUAAAGUAAUUGUAUGUGGAUAAAAUAUUAUUUCAAUUUGA
RNAcentral lists this long non-coding RNA (2691 nucleotides) under Onthophagus taurus. Its description in RNAcentral is "uncharacterized LOC111427025, transcript variant X2". The record is from RNAcentral. Lineage: Eukaryota; Metazoa; Arthropoda; Insecta; Coleoptera; Scarabaeidae.